Molecule: ribosomal RNA, 504 nt
Filed under: uncultured bacterium
Lineage: Bacteria
Description: bacterial SSU rRNA
Rfam family: Bacterial small subunit ribosomal RNA
Source: RNAcentral
GAGUUUGAUCCUGGCUCAGGACGAACGCUGGCGGCGCGCCUAACACAUGCAAGUCGAACGAGCGAGAGAGAGCUUGCUUUCUCGAGCGAGUGGCGAACGGGUGAGUAACGCGUGAGGAACCUGCCUCAAAGAGGGGGACAACAGUUGGAAACGACUGCUAAUACCGCAUAAGCCCACGGUUCGGCAUGGAGCAGAGGGAAAAGGAGCAAUCCGCUUUGAGAUGGCCUCGCGUCCGAUUAGCUAGUUGGUGAGGUAACGGCCCACCAAGGCAACGAUCGGUAGCCGGACUGAGAGGUUGAACGGCCACAUUGGGACUGAGACACGGCCCAGACUCCUACGGGAGGCAGCAGUGGGGAAUAUUGCACAAUGGGGGAAACCCUGAUGCAGCGACGCCGCGUGGAGGAAGAAGGUCUUCGGAUUGUAAACUCCUGUUGUUGGGGAAGAUAAUGACGGUACCCAACAAGGAAGUGACGGCUAACUACGUGCCAGCAGCCGCGGUAAUUC